UAGGGAAUCUUCCGCAAUGGGCGAAAGCCUGACGGAGCAACGCCGCGUGGGUGAUGAAGGUCUUCGGAUCGUAAAACUCUGUUAUUAGGGAAGAACAAAUGUGUAAGUAACUAUGCACGUCUUGACGGUACCUAAUCAGAAAGCCACGGCUAACUACGUGCCAGCAGCCGCGGUAAUACGUAGGUGGCAAGCGUUAUCCGGAAUUAUUGGGCGUAAAGCGCGCGUAGGCGGUUUUUUAAGUCUGAUGUGAAAGCCCACGGCUCAACCGUGGAGGGUCAUUGGAAACUGGAAAACUUGAGUGCAGAAGAGGAAAGUGGAAUUCCAUGUGUAGCGGUGAAAUGCGCAGAGAUAUGGAGGAACACCAGUGGCGAAGGCGACUUUCUAGUCUGUAACUGACGCUGAUGUGCGAAAGCGUGGGGAUCAAACAGG
This 429-nucleotide ribosomal RNA is filed under the name Actinomycetes bacterium. Its description in RNAcentral is "Actinobacteria bacterium partial 16S ribosomal RNA". It matches the Rfam family "Bacterial small subunit ribosomal RNA", at positions 355 to 776 of the family's 1533-position model. The record is from RNAcentral. Lineage: Bacteria; Bacillati; Actinomycetota; Actinomycetes.